Molecule: long non-coding RNA, 1560 nt
Organism: Globicephala melas (long-finned pilot whale)
Lineage: Eukaryota; Metazoa; Chordata; Mammalia; Artiodactyla; Delphinidae
Source: RefSeq, a predicted model, not a curated record
GGAGGUUACCAGCGCAAAGCCGAAACUCGCCCGCAAACAGGCUCAGGAGGCUGUGAGUCCGCAGCAGCGGAUCCUGGGAAAGCAAGCGAGUUGACGCCACAGCAGCCUUUUGAAGAGGAAAAGCGGAGACCCUCAGCUACAGAUCUUCGAAAUUUCUUACAUGACUUCUGAUCUUCACAACUGUGCAAUCCAUUUUCAAAACGGGAAAAAGACUCAGAAAUCAGAAGUUGUUACGUCUAGAGUCGCUUAUUCACCAUAUUUCAUUGUCUUGAUAGCAUCACUAGACCGUGCAUAAUUCAUGCAUGGGUGUGUUUUAGGGACAAAAAAGUCAAGUAGGAAGAAAAGACAGAUGAUCAAGAACAGAUGAAGAUGAAAACCAAAGAACGACCUACCGAAGAAAGUACCAUUUGAGUCUCCAUCCUCAUGCUUCUGCUGCUGUUGCUGCUGCUGUUGCUGCUGCUCCCUCAGCUGCAAGGAUUCCUGACAAACGUAAAUGGUUAGCCUUGGGCGCACCAUCCUAAGGAGGAAAAAAGAAAGCUGUUACUCUUUCAUGAAAGCUCAUCAAUGUAUCACCAAAGCCGAAUGGCUCAUAACAGGGACAACGGAUAUUUAACUGAAUGAAAAAUGGAAUAUCAUGAGGACCUCCUUGGAUCAAGUACAGGAAAAGAUAUUUUUCAUCUUUAUUUGGCACAUCGCUGGCAUUCAAAAAGAAUGUUUCGACAAGAUGUAUUUAGCUGUACAAAAAGUAUUGCGAAGAGUCCCUGAAUCCAAAUCCAUUUGAAAUCCAGCCCCACUGAUAUUUUACCACUAAUUACAUACCGGCCUUUCAAUGCAUUAAAAAGUCUGAUUCCAUCUGCAGGGCCACAGAUUUGAAUCACAUCAUCUCUAGUUAGCUUCAAUAAAUCUGCCCCUGGAAUAAAUAUAAGAAAAUGGGUGAUAACGGCAAAGAUUCUCCUUGUUAAUGAUUUAAAAUGGACUGUGUUACAACGACACCUCAUUACUAGUAUGCUACAGUCAUAAUCUCUUGCAUGGCAUAUAAGGCCCUCCAUGACCUGGCCCCUGCAUCCUCUCUCACCUCAAUUCCCACCCAAUUAACUUAUUCAUUUAACCCUAUGCUUUCAUCAUGCUGAUCACGCCUAAUGAGCAAGUUGUUCCUCCUGCCUGAAAUAUCCUUCCACUGUCUGACCACCAGACUCUUCCUCAGCCCUCAAGAUUUACCUCACACAUCACACAUCACACAUGUUCCUUCCACUGUCUGACCACCAGACUCUUCCUCAGCCCUCAAGAUUUACCUCACGCAUCACACAUCACACAUGUUCCCAAACUCCAGAGCCUUACACUUAUCUAUUGCAUUACAACUAUUUGUUUACCUUUUUCAGGGUUUUAUUUUGAUUUGGGUUUUCUUUGAUACUAGAUCGUGACUGAUCAGGAAAUAUGCCUUAUCCAUUUGUGUAUUCCUACCAUACCUGGUACACAGAAGGUGCUAAAUAAGAGUGGAAUGUGCAAAGAAAACAUAAUAUAGUGAUAGCAAGGGGAAAAUUUCCGACUACCUGCAAUGCU